UAGAAGUUCCACAACUCAAUUUAUCUGAGC
Molecule: small RNA, 30 nt
Filed under: Bombyx mori (domestic silkworm)
Lineage: Eukaryota; Metazoa; Arthropoda; Insecta; Lepidoptera; Bombycidae
Description: piRNA piR-bmo-1400020
Source: RNAcentral